This 76-nucleotide transfer RNA is filed under the name Candidatus Peregrinibacteria bacterium CG2_30_44_17. RNAcentral describes it as "tRNA-Thr". It matches the Rfam family "tRNA". Rfam says of the family: Transfer RNA (tRNA) molecules are approximately 80 nucleotides in length. Their secondary structure includes four short double-helical elements and three loops (D, anti-codon, and T loops). Lineage: Bacteria; Candidatus Peregrinibacteriota. RNAcentral also lists the same sequence under 3 other names. The record is from RNAcentral.
GCCACCUUAGCUCAGUUGGUAGAGCAACCGCCUUGUAAGCGGUGGGUCGUCGGUUCGACUCCGACAGGUGGCUCCA